CAGUCGCCACGGUAAUACAGAGGGUGCGAGCGUUAAUCGGAUUUACUGGGCGUAAAGCGUGCGUAGGCGGCUUCUUAAGUCGGAUGUGAAAUCCCUGAGCUUAACUUAGGAAUUGCAUUUGAUACUGGGAAGCUAGAGUAUGGGAGAGGAUGGUAGAAUUCCAGGUGUAGCGGUGAAAUGCGUAGAGAUCUGGAGGAAUACCGAUGGCGAAGGCAGCCAUCUGGCCUAAUACUGACGCUGAGGUACGAAAGCAUGGGGAGCAAACAGGAUUAGAUACCCCUGUAGUCCCUGUCUCUUAUAC
This 301-nucleotide ribosomal RNA is filed under the name uncultured bacterium. RNAcentral describes it as "partial 16S ribosomal RNA". It matches the Rfam family "Bacterial small subunit ribosomal RNA", at positions 509 to 807 of the family's 1533-position model. The record is from RNAcentral.